CUGGGGAUUGUCUUCAGAAUCUUUCUUGUACGCAACUCGUAAGAUGUCCUCCACUUGCUCAGCAAAUCCCAUGUCCAACAUUUGGUCAACUUCAUCAAGGACGACAUGUUUCACCUUGGUAAGGUCCAGCUUGCCAUUCUGAAGAUGAUCUUUGAUUCGACCAGGUGUGCCAACCAAAAUGUCAAUUCCACUUCUAAUGAGAUCAAUUUGUCCGUUAUAUGGUGUUCCUCCAUAAAAACAAGCUACUGUGAGCUUUCUCGUUAUGUCCUUGAAAUCUUUGGCAACCUGGUUUGCCAGCUCUCUUGUUGGAGCAAGAACCAGAACUUUUGGUGAACGGCCUCUUCUUCUUUCCUGUGAGUCCGCCUGAAGCUUUUCAAUUAGGGGAAUAGCAAAAGAGAAAGUCUUCCCAGUUCCAGUUCGUGCCUGAGCAAUUACAUCUUUGCCAGAAUAUACUGGGUUGAAGGUCUUCACUUGCACAGGGAACAGGUAUGUCACUCCUCGAGCUUGAAGAAGCUGAAUGGUCCCUUUAGAGAUAGGGAAAUUGGAGAAAGCACCCUCUUUCUGCUCUUCAGUCAUCUCCUGCUCCUGGUCACUGUCCCCAUCCCCGCUGGACGUUUCACUGGAGUUGCUGUGCCGUUUCUUAUGGGUGGAUUUGGCACUGACAGAAGACAGCCUGGCGUUCUCCGGGCUCUCCUCCCUCACGUGCCCAUUCUGUUUUCCUCCGGUCUUUGCUUUCUUGAGCUUUGGUGAGCUGCACUCCUCUUCAGACUGCUCACUUUCAUCCGUCUGAGGUUUCCUCUUCCGAGCCUUAUCGUGCCGCUUGGAUUUCUUCUCUUUCUUCUCCUUCUUGCGCCGCCGCCGACUGCUCUCUGGUGCGGCCUCGCUUUCCAUAGGGCUCUCGGGCUCCGACUCGGCCCCGCUGCCGGCGCAGAUCCGGGUGGCCUCAGGCAUCGCCGCUCGCCGGCCACCACGCCGCAACCGCGCCGUGACAGGAAUGGACCCCACCCCGGAAACCGGUG
RNAcentral lists this long non-coding RNA (1019 nucleotides) under Gallus gallus (chicken). The record is from RNAcentral. Lineage: Eukaryota; Metazoa; Chordata; Aves; Galliformes; Phasianidae.